This 721-nucleotide ribosomal RNA is filed under the name uncultured Clostridium sp. Its description in RNAcentral is "bacterial SSU rRNA". It matches the Rfam family "Bacterial small subunit ribosomal RNA", at positions 28 to 780 of the family's 1533-position model. Lineage: Bacteria; Bacillati; Bacillota; Clostridia; Eubacteriales; Clostridiaceae. The record is from RNAcentral.
GAUGAACGCUGGCGGCGUGCCUAACACAUGCAAGUCGAGCGAACCCUUCGGGGUGAGCGGCGGACGGGUGAGUAACGCGUGGGUAACCUGCCCUGUACACACGGAUAACAUACCGAAAGGUAUGCUAAUACGGGAUAAAGUAUGAGAGUCGCAUGGCUUUUGUAUCAAAGCUCCGGCGGUACAGGAUGGACCCGCGUCUGAUUAGCUAGUUGGUAAGGUAACGGCUUACCAAGGCAACGAUCAGUAGCCGACCUGAGAGGGUGAUCGGCCACAUUGGAACUGAGACACGGUCCAAACUCCUACGGGAGGCAGCAGUGGGGAAUAUUGCACAAUGGGCGAAAGCCUGAUGCAGCAACGCCGCGUGAGCGAUGAAGGCCUUCGGGUCGUAAAGCUCUGUCCUCAAGGAAGAUAAUGACGGUACUUGAGGAGGAGGCCCCGGCUAACUACGUGCCAGCAGCCGCGGUAAUACGUAGGGGGCUAGCGUUAUCCGGAAUUACUGGGCGUAAAGGGUGCGUAGGCGGUCUUUCAAGCCAGAAGUGAAAGGCUACGGCUCAACCGUAGUAAGCUUUUGGAACUGUAGGACUUGAGUGCAGGAGAGGAGAGUGGAAUUCCUAGUGUAGCGGUGAAAUGCGUAGAUAUUAGGAGGAACACCGGUAGCGAAGGCGGCUCUCUGGACUGUAACUGACGCUGAGGCACGAAGCGUGGGGAGCAAACAGGAUUA